UACGAAGGGUGCAAACGUUGCUCGGAAUCAUUGGGCGUAAAGCGCACGUAGGCGGCAUUCUAAGUCGGAUGUGAAAUCCCUCGGCUCAACCGAGGACGUGCAUCCGAAACUGGAAUGCUCGAGUAUGGAAGAGGGUCGCGGAAUUCUCGGUGUAGAGGUGAAAUUCGUAGAUAUCGGGAGGAACACCAGUGGCGAAGGCGGCGACCUGGGCCAAUACUGACGCUGAGGUGCGAAAGCGUGGGGAGCAAACAGG
RNAcentral lists this ribosomal RNA (253 nucleotides) under uncultured bacterium. RNAcentral describes it as "partial 16S ribosomal RNA". It matches the Rfam family "Bacterial small subunit ribosomal RNA", at positions 524 to 776 of the family's 1533-position model. The record is from RNAcentral.